Molecule: long non-coding RNA, 629 nt
Filed under: Phascolarctos cinereus (koala)
Lineage: Eukaryota; Metazoa; Chordata; Mammalia; Diprotodontia; Phascolarctidae
Description: lncRNA (ENSPCIG00000034913.1)
Source: RNAcentral
UCUCCUAUACUAAGCCAGGUGCCUGCUUAUAUGUAUGUUUUUCUAGCAGAUGGAGAUGCCACCACUGAUAGCCAAAACCUUGGAAAAGGCCCAGAGAAGACCCUGCCCUGCCUGCCCAGGGUUCUUGCUGCCAAGACCCAAAACUGAGUGGUACUGACAGAAGCUAACCAGACGGCAUGGAGAGCCAGCAGGUCAACAGACUGGAAGGCAUGGACAGUGUGGACACUUCCUGAAUAGACACAAAGGUCUAUUUGGCAUGAGGCAGAAGUUGCCAAGCCCCACUCGGGGCUUCACGAGUGUUAGAGGAGAAUAUUCUGUCUGGCACUCAAAGGACACUCACUGCCUGUGGCUCUGAGGAUGAUGCUCCACCAUUAGGAAUUUUGUGUCUUGUUGCAACAAAUUCUGCUUCAUUCCAAGGUCUUAUAAUUCUUGGACAUACACCCAGGAUGCAACCCUGAUGUAGCAAGACAAAUUAACUGGGUGGAACUGAAAGGAAAAUGAAGGGAGACAUUGCCCAGAUGGCCACUAUUUUUUAAUUGUUUCAUUUUAAAAUAUUAAAUGACAUAUACAUUUUUAAAACUAUGUAAAAAAACAAUAAAGUUAGAAUGGAACUUGACUGUGAAAACCUU